UACUGAGAGGAUUCAGUCUGUCUGC
RNAcentral lists this non-coding RNA (25 nucleotides) under Rattus norvegicus (Norway rat). Lineage: Eukaryota; Metazoa; Chordata; Mammalia; Rodentia; Muridae. The record is from RNAcentral.